AUACGUAGGGUGCGAGCGUUAAUCGGAAUUACUGGGCGUAACGCGUGCGCAGGCGGCUUUGCAAGACAGAUGUGAAAUCCCCGGGCUCAACCUGGGAACUGCAUUUGUGACUGCAAGGCUAGAGUACGGUAGAGGGGGAUGGAAUUCCGCGUGUAGCAGUGAAAUGCGUAGAUAUGCGGAGGAACACCAAUGGCGAAGGCAAUCCCCUGGACCUGUACUGACGCUCAUGAACGAAAGCGUGGGGAGCAAACAGGAUUAGAAACCCUAGUAGUCC
RNAcentral lists this ribosomal RNA (274 nucleotides) under uncultured bacterium. RNAcentral's name for it is "partial 16S ribosomal RNA". It matches the Rfam family "Bacterial small subunit ribosomal RNA", at positions 523 to 796 of the family's 1533-position model. The record is from RNAcentral.